This 254-nucleotide ribosomal RNA is filed under the name uncultured bacterium. Its description in RNAcentral is "partial 16S ribosomal RNA". It matches the Rfam family "Bacterial small subunit ribosomal RNA", at positions 524 to 776 of the family's 1533-position model. The record is from RNAcentral.
UACGUAGGGUGCGAGCGUUGUCCGGAAUUACUGGGCGUAAAGAGCUCGUAGGCGGUCUGUCGCGUCGAUCGUGAAAACUUGGGGCUUAACCCUGAGCUUGCGGUCGAUACGGGCAUGACUGGAGUUCGGCAGGGGAGACUGGAAUUCCUGGUGUAGCGGUGAAAUGCGCAGAUAUCAGGAGGAACACCGGUGGCGAAGGCGGGUCUCUGGGCCGAUACUGACGCUGAGGAGCGAAAGCGUGGGGAGCGAACAGG